This 465-nucleotide ribosomal RNA is filed under the name uncultured bacterium. RNAcentral describes it as "bacterial SSU rRNA". It matches the Rfam family "Bacterial small subunit ribosomal RNA", at positions 917 to 1382 of the family's 1533-position model. The record is from RNAcentral.
GGACCCGCACAAGCGGUGGAGCAUGUGGUUUAAUUCGAUGCAACGCGAAGAACCUUACCUGGUCUUGACAUCCUGGGAACCCUGAAGAGAUUCGGGGGUGCCGCAAGGAACCCAGAGACAGGUGCUGCAUGGCUGUCGUCAGCUCGUGUCGUGAGAUGUUGGGUUAAGUCCCGCAACGAGCGCAACCCUUGUCCUUAGUUGCCAGCAUUAAGUUGGGCACUCUAAGGAGACCGCCGGUGACAAACCGGAGGAAGGUGGGGAUGACGUCAAGUCAUCAUGGCCUUUAUGACCAGGGCUACACACGUGCUACAAUGGUAGAUACAGAGGGAAGCCAACCGGCGACGGGGAGCCAAUCCCAGAAAAUCUAUCGUAGUCCGGAUCGGAGUCUGCAACUCGACUCCGUGAAGUCGGAAUCGCUAGUAAUCGCAGAUCAGCAUUGCUGCGGUGAAUACGUUCCCGGGUCUU